Molecule: non-coding RNA, 9105 nt
Organism: Anas platyrhynchos (mallard)
Lineage: Eukaryota; Metazoa; Chordata; Aves; Anseriformes; Anatidae
Source: RefSeq, a predicted model, not a curated record
CGCCCUGCCCUGCCCUGCCCUGCCCUGCCCGGCCCGGCCCGGCCCCGCUCCCCGCCGCCCGCCGCCUGUUGAAGCCGGGCCGGGCCGGGCCGGGCUCGGCGGCUGCUGCCCGAGGGAGGCGGCGCCCCCGGCCCCGCAGCCAAUGGCGGCGGCAGCGGGGCCCGGCCCGGCAGAGCCCGCGGGGCGGGGCCGCCCGCCUCAAGAUGGAGGCGGCCCCCGGGGACAGGCACCGGCCCCGGCCUCGGGCAGGGGGGCGCCGAGGGCAGGGCGCUGGGUUUGUCCCUGAGGCUUCAAGGGUGAAGGGCGCAGGCACAGAAAUAAAAAAUCCCCCUGGGAGCGGGCUGAGCUCAGCGCUGCCGGGGUCUGGGCUCUGAGGUGGGAGCCGGGGUUGGCUUCCCACAGCUGCGCAUCGCUGAGCCUGAUGGCUGUGCCUCCCGGCUGGGGGCCCAGCCUACCUUCCUCCCCCAGGGGACCUGCCUGCGCUGGGAUUUAAUUCAUUAACAGCUGUGAAAUGCUGCAGGCUGCCGAGCUGGGAAGUAGCACGGAUUCUGCUCGCUCCUGCGUCUUGCUGAGCAGCGCGGGGGAGGAAUGGGGUCUGGCUUGUCCGUGCUGUGUGGCUGGAGGCCCAGCAGCAAAGCACGAGGUUAAGCUGAAGAAUGAAGCAGAUGUGGAAGACCUAAGGCUCUGCAAAGCGAUCGGUCAGGUAAAGGUCGAAUCCGUAUCUGAAAUGCAACACACAGCCAACAGAGUGCGGGAAACCCCAGGGGGCCUGGGCUAAAAUCACACUUGGAGGAGAACAGCACAGCCUCAGGGUGAGCUAACCGUGGUAUCACCAGCUCUAGUCCGUCCUGUUCGCAUCCCUCCUUGCUGGCCAGACACUGGUAUUCAUUUGGCCUCAGGAGCGAAGGCCAAGCCUGCAGGUGUGGGCAGCCUCAGGCACAGCAUUACGGGGGCUCUCAUGUCCCCAGCAUGUCCUCACCCCUACCCCGGGGUGAGGACACCCAUGCCCGCAGGCUGGGCAGCCCUGCCUGCAGAGCACGGUGCCCCAGGGAUGGGUUGGAGCAAGGGGAGGUGGUUCCCAGCAGCAGGUUUUGCCUUGGCUCCGGCAGCAGGGGCACAGCGAGGCACUGCCAGUGAGGGGGACGUGGUGCUCGGUUGUGAAAGCACAAGCUUUCGAGUGUUUUGGUUUCUUCUGCUGAAAACUGUGAGUGUUUACGUGCGUUCUAUCGUAGCAGAUAAAGUUCUUGUCUGACUCAAGCUGCCACCCGCUCCCAGGCAUCGUGCUGCUUGUCUUGGGGCUUCCUGCAGUCAGAGACGAGGGGAGGGCCCCGUGGGGCUCCCUUCCUGAUGCUGUCCCCACAGUCACAGGGAACGGUGGCCUUGUGUCCCCUGCAGCCGCCUAGGUCCUGUCCUGCUGUCCCCAUCUCCCUGCUUUCCAGUCCCCCAGCUGUGUGUGGGGGUCGCCUCAAGCUCCCUGGCUCUGAAGUCUGUGGGUUAGCAACCUGUGCGAUUCCCCCAGGCAGGCUUGGGAAGCCUCUGGGACCUUUCUUUGGCAGUGCUGGAGCUGCCCAUGAGCCACCUCUGAGCUUUGGGAAGCUCCUCUGAAGCCUGCCAGCCCUUCCCCUCCCCUGCUGCCCUUAGGAAACGCGUGCGCUCCUGCAGAGCUAAAAUUAGCCAGCCAGCUGUGUGGCACGCUUGCACAAGAGCUUCAGUCCCCAGGCAGGGGAUCCAGGUCUGCCAAGGAGGCAACAUCCUAUAUAGGCUAACGGGGCCAGCACAGGCCACCGUAGGGAGGAGGGAGGCUUCCCCAUUUCUCUGCUGCCCAAGCCUGCAACAGGACCAAAGCACCAAGGAGCCGACAGAAGGGAGAGGGCGUCUUCUCCAGAUAAACCUGGCAAAGGCUACCCAGGAGUGGCGCUGCCCCACUGCCCCUUCACACACCUUUCCUUGCCAGCCCCCUCCCCAGCGCUUCCCUGAAGCUCUGCUCUCCCUUGCAUGGACGGGAGCCCCCCGAGGGCAUCAGUGCCAGGGAGCGACAGAGGAGCUGCAGCCUGCCCCUCGCACAGCACCUCAGCGAUGCCUUUUGCUCCCACUCCCCAGCACGGUGCUGAUACAGAGGCGUCUGAAAAGCGGCUGUGGGAAGCACCGCAGCUGCAGAGGGAACAGGCCAUUUUUAGCAGCUCAGCCCCCCCGCUGCAGGGUUGCAGGCAGAGCUGCGCGGGGACGUGCUCCUGCCUCAGCUGGCGCAGCGCGGCAGCCCCCAGCCCCAGCAGCACAGGUUCUGCCAGGCAGAGAGCUUGGCCCUGCCAGCACCAAGCCUGUAGGCUGCAGGAGCUGCUCACUGCCCCGUCUCACACUGGUUGAGACCCGACAAGACAAUGCGGUGGCGCGUGCUUAAGUACUUUUGGGGUGGAAGUUUAGCACAGGUGCCGCAGCGCCUGCACUGCGGAUACCCCACUGUGGGGUGCCGGGGGCUUCAGGAGGGGCCCACAGAGUUUGGAUGCUCCUGGACAGCACAGUACCAGGGGGAACAGAUGCUCCAGGUCCUGAUUUUGGACAUUUCUCUUCCAUUUUGGGUGCUUAAAGUCUUUUCUGGAGCCGGGUUUAAAAUUAGGGAAGAAUUCUUUCUGAGUGACUGUUUUUAGUGGAGAAGCGUGGGCUGGGAGGGAGGACAGCCCUAUUGAGAGCUGCUGGUAACCCCUUAAUGAUGGGGCGAACGGCACAGCCAGGAAUAGACCCACAAAGGCUGAAAACAGAGCUCAGCUUUUCACCCCACGUUGCGUUUUUUUGUAAGCCACCUCCCACAGGAGUGGCUCCGGCACCCUGUGGGAACCCAUUUCCCACAUCCCGAGUGUUUUCCGACUGCAGCGCUUCACCGAAGGUUUCUGCCCUGCGGGACCCACGGGGCACAGCACUAUUCCCAGGGCCCACGACGGAGCCGCCAGCUCAGCCAGCGGGAGCACCAGGCCCCGGUGAGCCCUCGCUCAGCUCGGAGCCAGUGCCGAAGCCAUUUCCCCGGCUCGUGCAUCAGCCUCAAGGUCAGGCCGUCCCCGCCGGCAGCGGAGCCGCGCUGCAGCCAGCAGGCGACUCCUCCCUUACGCACGCAGCAGCUGAGCCGUGCUGCUCCUGCCUUAGCCGGGAGGCUUGAGAAAUGGCCACGAGGAACAAGAAGCCAUCGGUGUGGGGGCACAAGGUGGGAACCCCCGCGGCCACAUCUCAGCAACCCGCGGAGCCGGCAUGGACCGCGGUGGCCAGAGGAGCCGGCUCGAGGCGGAGAGUCCCAGCGCUGCCUCCUUCCCUGCCUCCCUCGCCCAGGAAGGACUCAGACCCCGUUGGUGGCCAGGCACAGGCACUCCCCAAUGCACUGCCCCCUUCCCACCUCCGACCAGCACCCCAGGGUGCUCCAGGACCAUGGAGGUCAUCGCCACCCCUUCCCCCGCCCGUCCAGAGGCACCUCACAGCUCCUGUGGCUUUGGCCAGAGCUGUCCCUGUAAAUGGGAACCGGGUCAUGCAGGGAGGUGACAGGGCUGCCCCAGCCACAAGUGCAGGGUACUCCCAGCUCUGGGGUUUCAGCCACUGGCCCACCCUCGCCACUGCUGUGCCUGGCCCACAUCACCAGCAGUGGGGUUGGUGGCUGCACUCCCUGACCUCUGCAACGCAGGAGGAAAGCUGCAGGCCAAGGGAACAGCACUGAUCCUGCCUAUUCCAACAGCCUGACACAGGCAUGAGGACGGACACCUUAAUUGCAUCCCACAUGGCCAUCUACACGAUCUUACCCGAAGCUCUUGCCCUUGUUCUUGUGGCUUAGUUGGCCGGAGAGAGCAACCAAAUUACCUUGAGCAGCUCCUUGGGGAAGUCAGUGCCUCCGUUGAGCCCCUCCAAGUUGCCAAUGAAGUCGGAGCAGGACAUUCUCUUCCCGAUGUUCUGGGGGAGCCAGGGGAAGAGAAACGUGGGGUUCACCUCUGGGCCGGGGGGCUGGAGCUGGCUGGAGCAGGCUCCCACAGCCCAGGAACAGAAAACCCAGUCUGCUGCAGAGCGAGGGGCUGGCCAGGUCUCGGGGAGGUGUGGAAAGCCGCCUGCUGUGCUCAGACUCGGGGAGUGUUAGAAAGCUUCUUUUCUCUAAGCUCAGUGCCACCUGCUCCCAAUAUCAGCUGGGUUUGGAGUCGCGCUCCCAGCCUCUCUCCCUGUCUGCUUUCCUCUUCUCUCCUCCCUCCACACCCUCCAGCUCAGCCUGUCUCCCCCAAAGCCCCGUUAUCUCCUCGUUCAGGCCUUCCCCGCUCUCCUCCCAGCCACCUUGGGGGUGGCUCAGCCCCUGCACCUCCUGCGCACGCGGCUCUGCCCUUGGCAAGUCCUUGCUCUUCCCCGGCCACCCACGGCUGGGGCAGCGGGGGCGGUAAGGGCAGGGGACAGCUGGGGCUAAUGGCAGGGGGAACUUACGUGUCCGUGCAGAUCUGUGUUGAGCAGCAUCAGGGCACAGGUCAGGGUGUGGGCUCCGUCUGCAGCACAAGCACAGGGCAGGGAUUAGAGCCCCUGGGAAUGGACCGAGCCCGAAGCAGCCCUGAGCCCACUCCUCCCAGCCUGGGCACGUGGGGCACGCAGCAUCAGCAUGGUGCUGGCAGCACGCAGGCAAGUGGAUAGGAGGCCACUGGGUUAAAGCUAGUCUGAAACCUGUGCGUUCAGACGCCCCUCCAGCCCUCAGCCCCGUCAGCCAGGCAGUGACGCUGCAGCUACCAUUGCCCAGCUCCUGGCACAGGCACGGUGGGGAUGGCACAGCCCUCUUCCAGCCAGCCAGCCAAAAUCUCACCUGCCCACAGAGCCAAACCAGAGCAGAUUCAGCACGUGAGCACACACAGGGGGAGCGUAAAGACGCGGCACACUGAGGUGAUACGGUGCAGACUGGGUGCUCCUCUGUGCCGCACGGGGUUGUCUCACCUGGCCGUCCCCUGAGGUCUGAGAGCUGGGGUCUGUGUGCUGGGGAGGGCCUCCUCUCGCCUCCUGUGCUAAUCUGCUCAAGGGCAGAAUUAAGGAUGCGUUGAGCCCUAAUUAUGCAUCUUCCAACUAGAGCAGUAUUUUUUUUUAAGUCUAAAGUGCCUGUCACUUGAGGGGAAUGACAACAUCUCCGUAACAGGGGCUGACUCCCGAGGCGUCAGUUCACGCUCUCAGACUGCUUCCUAGUUGCAGUCGGAGCACCUUCGCUGAGCUGACGAACACAUGUGCUCUCCCGAGCGAACACAUGCACACCCACACGCACACUCAUACACACACAGACAGCCGCUUACCCUCCGAGGAGAUGGCAUUGGGAUUGCACUCGUAAUAGCGCUGGGAAAAAUGAGCCAGCACUCGCUCCCGCUCCUGCGUCUCUCCCAUCAAGGCCAGCUCCUUCAGAAAGGACCUGAAGAAGCAGCAGCAGCAGCGUUGGCCACAGGUGAAGCCCACCAGCAGCUCCUCUAACUCACCCUUUGCUUUCUGCCCCCUCCUGGAGACCUGGCGUGUGCCAGAUGAAGCCCUGCCCUCACACAGCCUUCCCAGACAGCUGCAGGACCGCUUUGAAGCCCGCAGCACCUUAUCCUGCCAGCACUGGGCCCUAAAAACUACCCUGGGGGACGCACUCAGGUGGCCACGACACAUGCACACGUCCACACGCAGUCCGCCUGACCUGAGAGCCUGGUCCAGACUCAUCCCCGUGAACACGAAGAACUUGAGGUGGCGGGCCACAUCUGCUUUUUUGAAGCCAUCCAGGUUGUAGAGCCUCUUGGCCAGGCGUUUGGCAGCCUCCAGGUCAGCCUUGUGCCCGUUGGAGAGGGUGUCUGUGCUGCCCAGGGCCAGCUGCUCCAUGCUGUCCAUCUCCGAGUCCGAGUCAGAAACCAGCUGGCUCAGGGGGUGGUCGCUGCAAUGGAAAGGGACACGCCGCGUUAGUCUGCCCACAGGUCCUCUGCUCCUCCAGCUUCUCAGCAAACACGUCCUCACCCUGCUUUGGAGGUCAGCCACUCUGCCGGGCUGCGUUAUGCACACUACUGCUUAGAGGUGCUCACAGGUCGGGGCUGGGUGCUAAGGGAAGGCUGGAGACGUGGCUGGAAGAGAGACGAGGUGACAGGGUGCUUCUGGUGGCUGAUGACGGGACCAAGUCACUCAAAGCCACGUCCAAAGUGGAUGUGGGGAGACAGGACAACUGCUCCAGAGUCCCCACCCUGAGCCUGCGAGACGUCGUGUGUGGGCUCCGGCUCUGCCAAGCCCAGCUGCUGCCGAGACUUGGAGCAGAAACAUGUGCACGCUGCAUGCUGUACUCUACAGACACCGUCAUUUUUUAACCUGAACAAACUCCUCGUGCUGCUCUCGAGUGCAGUUCCUACCCAAGAGAAGAAGACCAUAAUUCUUGCACUUGGCUUCUCUCACCCGGUAACUUCAGAGCACAGCAAAAACCGAGGAACAGAGCGCGAGGAUGAAGGCAAACACCGCCGGCCCCGGCUCGCGGCACUGUGUGCUGCCUCCCCCGGGCUGCCCCGCAGCUCUCGCCCCGUCAGGCCUUACAAGGCUGUGCUUCCAGCACUCUCUUGGCUUCGCCUGCGGAGCUGUCUGACUCAGCGGCACACAAGCGAUCCCAACAAAAAGUAAGUUGAAGCUAAUCAACAACGAAUGUUAAGCAACUCUGACCUCGCCCAAAUUUUCUGGCAGGCCUCGCAAUGUUCCAGUCUGAUUUAUUUUUAAAAGUCUCUAAUUGACUUUUAAGAAGGCCUCCUCUCCUGAGCCAAUUACCCAGGCUGGUCUCCCUGAGGCUCCACUUCUUCCACUAAGGACAAAGCUGCUCUUUGCUGCUCGGCGCUGGCCGACAGCUUUUGGAUGGAGCUCGUCCCGUCCCGGGGGAGCCCCGCACAGCACGGACAGGCUGCCCUGUGCCUUGGGGGGCUCUCAACGUCCCCUGUGCAACUGGGAAGCCCAAAAGCACGCAACCAUGGGCCAGACAGGUCCAGAGCUGCUUAGCUCUGGAGCCCUGCAAGUCCUGGGGGAGAUGCACUUGACUGGGACUGCUGUGGAGCUUGGAAACACCAGGCAGUGACUGCGGUACGGCCCGGGUGGGUGGCCCCUAAGUGGCUGCAAGGUCCCUGGUGGCAAGGAGCUCACCAGCCCUGGGGCAUGUCUCACCGAGCAGGAGGCUUCUGUACCCACAGCACACCCGGCUGGUUCGUGGUGCCUCCUGCAGCAAACCCGGAGCUCCAAGUUUCCUCCAUGACCUCUCUUCCAGAGCUGUGCUCCUCACCUUCCUACCCGCUGCUGAGCACCCAGGCACAGGGCCAUCUACAAACUCCUGUCCUUCAACAGCUAUCUCACGGCAGGCUCCCAGCCUGUGGCUGUGACUCUUGCCUUGCUUCUUGAAACAGACACGCAGGGCUCACAGCCUGUUUGUUACAGCAGCUCUGCCAGCGGGGUCUGCCAUCCCCUCCCUCACCGGGCCCCAGCUCUGACUUUGGGCUCUGUAUCAGCAGAGCAUACCCAUACAGUCAGGAUGAGGCACCAUGCUGUACAAGAGACCCCAGCCUCCAGGCCACGCCAAGAAAUGGGUUUUCACCCAACACUUUUCCUACGGCGAGAAGAGCAAGAGCCCGAUCCUCAAGCAAACGGCGAACACAGCAAAGAGCACAUGUCCACAUCUGAGGCAACUGAGGUGAUGCUAAUUUUCUUGCCAAUGACCUAAUGUCUCGGGAUUUUUUUAGUGUGCUUUCUGAAGUGACAUUUCAGUUUGGCUUGAAGAAACACUGAGAUAAUAUUUUUACAUUAGAUGUAUUUCCAACCCAAGAACUGGCCUGCACUUAAGGAACAAAGAUCAAAUUUGGUAUUGUACGAGCAUCUCCAGCGUGCCUGAAAUGAGUCAUCCCGGAGCGGCGCGGAGCUGGCUCGUCCCCGCCACGCUGCCCGCGGUGGCACGGCCACGGCCACCCCCACGGCGCCACUCCCCACGGCGGGCGCCAGCCUGGUGUGACCCAGCCAGAUGGCAGAGACCCCACAUCUGCCACACUUGGAGGUGUUUGCCAGGAGGUCCGGACCCCCAGGGAAGCAGCAAGGUGCUUCUGCAGACACUCUCUGAUGACAAGGAUCCCUCCCCAGGGCCAGGCAGUCCUUCUGCGGGGUCCACGCACUCCGUUUCAUGGCCCCAAAUACUCCUUCCCUUGGCUAAAGCAUUUCUUCUCUGACCCCCAAAUAUUCCAGCUCCAGACCCCAAUUACUCUUUUUCUAGUCACACCUUUUCUUGUCCCAAAGACUUCUUUGCCUUGGCAACAGGCACGCUUCUCUGAGCCCAAAUCCUCCUUCCCAGGGCCACAUCCUCCCUCCCUGGCUUCAGAUCCUCUUCCUCUGGGCUCAACACUUGCUUCUCAAGGCCAAACGCCCACCCCCUGGACCCGGAUGCUCUGUGUCUCGCCCUGAUAUUCAUCCUCUGGCUGGCAGCCCGGAGGCCAGCAGGAGACCAGCACCUUCCUGCGCUGCAAUGCAGCGUGCCACUGCAGGAGCCCCGCUGUCCUCUCCACGAGGCUCACCCAGCACCAUGCUCUCCCCACAGCCUCCAGGAGCUUCUCUCCCCGCCGUGGGGCAGCACCAGGCCGUUAGCUCAGCACAGACUGCCCGAGGGGCUGCCCUCCAGCUCCUCGCUGCCAGCAGGGAUGUAUCUGCACGGCGGGACCCCCCUCACCCAUGUCUGCUCCCCAGGACCAGAUGUCCCUGGGGACAGGCUCAGACAAGCGGACAUUGGUAUCAGCCUGUGGUGCUCUGCUGAGCUCCCAGGCUAUCCAGGUCCUUGCUGGCAUGUUUCCACAUGAGACACCUGCUGCAGGAAAUUCAGAAAUGCCUACUGCGAGCCACUUGUUCCCCAAAACAGGCCAUGGGGGGCUCGGUUUGCUUUCUGCACCACGAAGGGACAGGGCAGGGAGCCCGGUCUGAGUCGGCGAGGGCCACGUGCGUGGGGCAGGCCAGCACCCUGCCCUCAAUUCCCACUGCCCCACACGCAUGGCUAGGAGCCCGGCGCCUCUGCCAAGCAAUCCCAGCCUGCCUAAUAUCGCUGCUAAGAAUGUACCAGACCGGAUCCUUGGCUGAGCUAAAUAAAUGCAGCUCCCUCCA